CACUCCUACGGGAGGCAGCAGUGGGGAAUCUUGCGCAAUGGGCGAAAGCCUGACGCAGCCAUGCCGCGUGAAUGAUGAAGGUCUUAGGAUUGUAAAAUUCUUUCACCGGGGACGAUAAUGACGGUACCCGGAGAAGAAGCCCCGGCUAACUUCGUGCCAGCAGCCGCGGUAAUACGAAGGGGGCUAGCGUUGCUCGGAAUUACUGGGCGUAAAGGGAGCGUAGGCGGACAUUUAAGUCAGGGGUGAAAUCCCGGGGCUCAACCUCGGAAUUGCCUUUGAUACUGGGUGUCUUGAGUAUGAGAGAGGUGUGUGGAACUCCGAGUGUAGAGGUGAAAUUCGUAGAUAUUCGGAAGAACACCAGUGGCGAAGGCGACACACUGGCUCAUUACUGACGCUGAGGCUCGAAAGCGUGGGGAGCAAACAGGAUUAGAAACCCUAGUAGUCCCA
RNAcentral lists this ribosomal RNA (447 nucleotides) under uncultured organism. Its description in RNAcentral is "partial 16S ribosomal RNA". It matches the Rfam family "Bacterial small subunit ribosomal RNA", at positions 334 to 797 of the family's 1533-position model. The record is from RNAcentral.